ACGCGGCGGCUGCCCACCGCGUAAAGUCGAACGGUAACAGGUCUUCGGGUACUGAGAGUGGCGAACGGGUGAGUAAUACAUCGGAACGUGCCCGAGAGUGGGGGAUAACGAAGCGAAAGCUUUGCUAAUACCGCAUACGAUCUCAGGAUGAAAGCAGGGGACCGCAAGGCCUUGCGCUCACGGAGCGGCCGAUGGCAGAUUAGGUAGUUGGUGGGAUAAAAGCUUACCAAGCCGACGAUCUGUAGCUGGUCUGAGAGGACGACCAGCCACACUGGGACUGAGACACGGCCCAGACUCCUACGGGAAGCAGCAGUGGGGAAUUUUGGACAAUGGGCGCAAGCCUGAUCCAGCCAUGCCGCGUGCAGGAUGAAGGCCUUCGGGUUGUAAACUGCUUUUGUACGGAACGAAAAGACUCUGGUUAAUACCUGGGGUCCAUGACGGUACCGUAAGAAUAAGCACCGGCUAACUACGUGCCAGCAGCCGCGGUAAUACGUAGGGUGCGAGCGUUAAUCGGAAUUACUGGGCGUAAAGCGUGCGCAGGCGGUUAUGUAAGACAGAUGUGAAUCCCCGGGCUCAACCUGAGAACUGCAUUUGUGACUGAAUAGCUGGAAUACGCAAAGGGGGAUGGAAUCCGCGUGUAACAGGGAAUGGGUAAAUUGCGGAGGAACACGAUAGGAAGGGAAUCCUUGGGCGU
RNAcentral lists this ribosomal RNA (694 nucleotides) under uncultured bacterium. Its description in RNAcentral is "bacterial SSU rRNA". It matches the Rfam family "Bacterial small subunit ribosomal RNA", at positions 33 to 736 of the family's 1533-position model. The record is from RNAcentral.